AGGAGCGAAUUUCAAAAAGAAAGAUUAUUUUCUCUGAAUGAAUGAGGGCUCCUUUUAUUAUAAAAUGCCUAGUAACCCAUAUGGAAAGCUUCCAGUAAUUGGAAUAUGGGCUUUGUUUGGUUCCAGCUUUUAUUUUUUCCUCGCUUAUCAGUCGUUWGGAGAACGAGGCACAAGAAACAGGAAAUGGUUGAGCGAAGUGCUACAAAUUGCUCCACCGUCCAAASAACCCUCCACAGAUGAACUUAAAUACAAAGCUUUGCUAGAGGAAACAACAUAUGAGCCAAAAKAAGAUGACUAAGUCUYAKAAAGCUUUACUUCAAUAAAAGAAGCUGGAGUAAAAAGUUCAUAAUUGGCAACCAUCAUCGCAUCGUCCAGUCUUGUUCCAUCUUCACUGCUGGCCUCAGGGAACAUGUUAUCCAAUGUACUGAAUACAU
Long non-coding RNA from Exaiptasia diaphana, 434 nucleotides. RefSeq lists it as uncharacterized. The transcript has 3 exons. Lineage: Eukaryota; Metazoa; Cnidaria; Anthozoa; Actiniaria; Aiptasiidae. The record is from RefSeq and is a predicted model, not a curated record.